RNAcentral lists this transfer RNA (82 nucleotides) under Haematococcus lacustris. RNAcentral describes it as "Haematococcus pluvialis tRNA". It matches the Rfam family "tRNA". Rfam says of the family: Transfer RNA (tRNA) molecules are approximately 80 nucleotides in length. Their secondary structure includes four short double-helical elements and three loops (D, anti-codon, and T loops). Further hydrogen bonds mediate the characteristic L-shaped molecular structure. tRNAs have two regions of fundamental functional importance: the anti-codon, which is responsible for specific mRNA codon recognition, and the 3' end, to which the tRNAs corresponding amino acid is attached (by aminoacyl-tRNA synthetases). tRNAs cope with the degeneracy of the genetic code in two manners: having more than one tRNA (with a specific anti-codon) for a particular amino acid; and 'wobble' base-pairing, i.e. permitting non-standard base-pairing at the 3rd anti-codon position. The record is from Rfam by way of RNAcentral. Lineage: Eukaryota; Viridiplantae; Chlorophyta; Chlorophyceae; Chlamydomonadales; Haematococcaceae.
GGCUUCGUGCCGGAGUGGUCUAACGGGCUCGACUCAAGUUCGAGUAGUGCAAACUGCGCGGGUUCGAUCCCCGUCGAAGCCA